CAGAUCUUCUUGGCUUGAUGAAUCUAAGCCCUUGGAUGUUUCAUUACACAUUGCCUCCAGAUGACUGCCAUGUAUCCCUCUGGUGCAAGUGUGCUUGACCAGGUUCAAUUCUGUUCCAAUGUAAUCAGGCUUGAAGUCGACCAAAUGCACAUUUAAACUCUGAUUUACGAUAAUCUGUACCAAAUAAAAUAUAAAAUUAAUGCAGCCCUUUUAUCAUUAUUUGUUAGCAAUAAUAUUAAUUUAAGCAACAUGUAGAACGCACUUUUGUGCUCUCAUCACACCCCCCAACUUGCUUAUUGCUAGUCUCUAGCAAUU
Molecule: long non-coding RNA, 315 nt
Filed under: Phoenix dactylifera (date palm)
Lineage: Eukaryota; Viridiplantae; Streptophyta; Magnoliopsida; Arecales; Arecaceae
Description: long non-coding RNA (PDAC_LNC006808)
Source: RNAcentral